GGAGGAGUGGCCGAGUGGUUUAAGGCGCCGGUCUUGAAAAUCGGUAAUGCAAAGAAGCAUUCUAGAGUUCGAAUCUCUACUCCUCCG
This 87-nucleotide transfer RNA is filed under the name Blochmannia endosymbiont of Camponotus modoc. RNAcentral's name for it is "tRNA-Ser". It matches the Rfam family "tRNA". From Rfam's summary of the family: Transfer RNA (tRNA) molecules are approximately 80 nucleotides in length. Their secondary structure includes four short double-helical elements and three loops (D, anti-codon, and T loops). The record is from RNAcentral. Lineage: Bacteria; Pseudomonadati; Pseudomonadota; Gammaproteobacteria; Enterobacterales; Enterobacteriaceae.